CUAGUUGAGCUGCAGCUCAUUUGCUAAUUGAAGAGUGAUUGACAGGUCAGGAGCUCCAUGACUGGGAAUCCCCCGUGCCGCUGUGACACAGGACGAGCGACGAGGCAGGAGUGGGGAUGUGUUUGAACGAUGCGCCAGCGCCGUGGAGCCAAAUCGCUGGCUGUAAUUCCCAGCGGAGGAGCCGUCCAGCAGCCCAACGCCUUCUGUCAGUGCCUUUAAAGCUCCCUGGAGAGGCCUGGGCUCCUGUCUCCUCGCUGUCAGCGGCUGCAGAGGGAGCUCCACUCGCUUAGGGACCAGGAAUCUGAUGGCGGGGAACCAGCAGUAAUCACGAAGUCCUCCGAGCAGGUGAAGAGCAGAAGUGAUGCAGUCUGCAGCAGCAGCUUCAGCUUCAGUUGGGCCAGUGGCCGGGUCAGAACCAGAGAUGCGGGCCUUUAAAGGCGAGCCUUUAGUCUAUUAACAUUAAACAUUUU
Molecule: long non-coding RNA, 470 nt
Organism: Betta splendens (Siamese fighting fish)
Lineage: Eukaryota; Metazoa; Chordata; Actinopteri; Anabantiformes; Osphronemidae
Exons: 3
Source: RefSeq, a predicted model, not a curated record